CUGCUUCAGCUUUAAUCACAACGAUUUCCCAUCAUCCUCAGAGAAUGUUCAACAAAUUCUUAAUGAAAUAAACCUAGGCGAUAGCUUGAGAUUGCAACAUUUGUCGUUCUUUCAAUAACGUCCCCUUGUUCUUCCUCCAUGUUUAUAAGAACACAUGAAAUAGAAAAAGAGUUGAAAUAUUUCAAAGAAAAGUGAUACAUUGAUUAUAACCAAGAUAAUUUUUUUUAUCUAAUUGGAAUAAAAAACUAAUAAAUCAAAAGAAGAAUUUUUAUAACAACUUAAGUAUAGUUUGUAGCUACCAUACCCAAAACUUCAUUUUGGUGACCACCAACUCGAAUGAAUAUCAAAAUGCAUAUUUCAGUAUGAAUAUUCCACAGCUGAACUAAUUCAUCUUACUUAAAUUUUAAAUUUAAACAUUUAAUAAAACAGUAAUCAAGUAAAUGCAAUAAUGCUUACUUGUUGACACUAUAAGUGGUGGCUUUAAUGAUUGAGUCUUGAUUUCAUUUAUGAAAUUCCCAUGAAGAGCAAAACUCUGUAAAUACACAUGCAUGAAGAGGUUAAAAUGAAAAAACUCAGGGUAAAAAAAAUGCAUAAAACUAUAGAUGCUAAAAUCGUUCACCUGUAUGCCACAAAAAAUGUAAGCAUAAUCAGUAACUAUAAAUCAGAAUAAACAUAAAAACAGAGAAAAAAAAUAAGAGAAACAUGAAACCAUUUACAUCGUUAUGAAAGAAUCAAAAUAUUGAGAAAUGAAAAGACAAAAUAGGGAUAUACUGAAACUUGUCACUGCUAAAGAAGGCACCAAAGUCUGAUAACAACAACCAAAAUGCACCGAAUCUAACCCACACAUGUUAAUAAAAAAUCACUAAAAAAUUUAUGAGUAAUAAAACUAAAAUAUCCAAAGAAAAAAACAAAUCCACAAAUGUAAAACAUUUGCAAGGCUUAAAACUCUAACCAAACAGUGCCGGAGAAAUGUAAAAACGAAAGAGGCGACAAAACCAAAGAGACAUCAAAGAAAGACACCAAAAUCAAACAAUCUCAAAACUUAAACCACCUGAAGAACCCAAAAUGUAUAAAACAGAUACAAAAACCAAGAAAAAUGCAAGGAAUUGAAACCAACACAAAUAUAGGGAAAACACAUCCAAACCAAAAGAUUUGAAAAUCUGAACCGGUUGAAAAAGUAAAAAGACUGCACAACUCAAAAAAUGUAACAAAUCCAAAUCAAUAGAAAAUAAUGGAUAAAAGAACAGAAGAGACGCCACAAUCGAAGAGAAGAAACCAAAAUACCAUA
Molecule: long non-coding RNA, 1288 nt
Filed under: Theobroma cacao (cacao)
Lineage: Eukaryota; Viridiplantae; Streptophyta; Magnoliopsida; Malvales; Malvaceae
Description: long non-coding RNA (TCAC_LNC000851)
Source: RNAcentral